UUAGCUCAGCUGGUAGAGCAACUGACUUUUAAUCAGUAGGUCACAGGUUCGAACCCUGUAG
Molecule: transfer RNA, 61 nt
Filed under: uncultured Hyphomonas sp.
Lineage: Bacteria; Pseudomonadati; Pseudomonadota; Alphaproteobacteria; Hyphomonadales; Hyphomonadaceae
Rfam family: tRNA
About the family: Transfer RNA (tRNA) molecules are approximately 80 nucleotides in length. Their secondary structure includes four short double-helical elements and three loops (D, anti-codon, and T loops).
Source: RNAcentral